RNAcentral lists this ribosomal RNA (253 nucleotides) under uncultured bacterium. RNAcentral's name for it is "partial 16S ribosomal RNA". It matches the Rfam family "Bacterial small subunit ribosomal RNA", at positions 524 to 776 of the family's 1533-position model. The record is from RNAcentral.
UACGAAGGGGGCUAGCGUUGUUCGGAAUUACUGGGCGUAAAGCGCGCGCAGGCGGCCUUUCAAGUCAGGGGUGAAAGCCCGGAGCUCAACUCCGGAAUUGCCUUUGAAACUGUCAGGCUCGAGUACGGGAGAGGUGAGUGGAAUUCCCAGUGUAGAGGUGAAAUUCGUAGAUAUUGGGAAGAACACCGGUGGCGAAGGCGGCUCACUGGCCCGUUUCUGACGCUCAGGCGCGACAGCGUGGGGAGCGAUCCGG